This 318-nucleotide ribosomal RNA is filed under the name uncultured eukaryote. Its description in RNAcentral is "partial 18S ribosomal RNA". It matches the Rfam family "Eukaryotic small subunit ribosomal RNA", at positions 1470 to 1796 of the family's 1831-position model. The record is from RNAcentral.
CCCUUAGAUGGUCUGGGCGGCACGCGUGCUACAAUGAUGCAUUCAAAAAGUCUUCUGACCUUAGAAGGUUGGGUAUUCUCCAAAGUGCAUCGUGAUGGGAAUAGUUUAUUGCAAUUUUUAUCUUGAACGAGGAAUUCUUAAUAAGUACAGGUCAUCAACUUGUGUUGAUUACGUCCCCGCCCUUUGUACACACCGCCCGUCGCUCCUACUGAUUGAGUGUCUCGGUGAAUUCUUUGAUCUUCUGUCGAUUCAGUUCACUGAUCCGACGGUGGAAACUUGAAUGAACUUCGUCACUUAGAGGAAGGAGAAGUCGUAACA